Molecule: regulatory RNA element, 143 nt
Rfam family: FMN riboswitch aptamer (RFN element)
About the family: The RFN element is a highly conserved domain that is found frequently in the 5'-untranslated regions of prokaryotic mRNAs that encode for flavin mononucleotide (FMN) biosynthesis and transport proteins. This element is a metabolite-dependent riboswitch that directly binds FMN in the absence of proteins.
Source: Rfam
AGUUUUCUUCGGGGCCGGGUGAAAUUCCCAACCGACGGUGACAAGGCAACUUGAAGUCCGUGACCCGCUAGUCGACAGUGACCAGCGGUUGAACCAGUGCAAGUCUGGUACCGACAGUAUAGUCUGGAUGGGAGAAGAAAAAC